RNAcentral lists this ribosomal RNA (335 nucleotides) under Lilioceris cf. impressa YK35. Its description in RNAcentral is "partial 12S rRNA". The record is from RNAcentral. Lineage: Eukaryota; Metazoa; Arthropoda; Insecta; Coleoptera; Chrysomelidae.
AUUAGUAUUAGUUAUUUUCUUGAAAAUUAAAAAAUUUGGCGGUAUUUUAGUCUAUUCAGAGGAACUUGUCCUGUAAUUGAUAAUCCACGAUUUAUGAUACUUUUUUUAAUAAUUUAUAUAUCGUCGUAUUUGAGAAUUUUAAAAAAAUUGAAAUUUUCAUAAUUUUAAAUUUGAAAAUAUUUCAGAUCAAGAUGUAGUUUAUAAAAAAGAAGAGAUGAGUUACAUUAAAUUUAUUUAAGGAUUUGUAUUAGAAUAAUAUUUUGAAUUUGGAUUUGAUAGUAAUUUUAAUUAAUUAGUUAAUAUGAUUUAGCUCUAAAAUAUGUACACAUCGCCCG